Molecule: unclassified non-coding RNA, 354 nt
Filed under: Hevea brasiliensis (rubber tree)
Lineage: Eukaryota; Viridiplantae; Streptophyta; Magnoliopsida; Malpighiales; Euphorbiaceae
Source: RNAcentral
GAACCAUAGGGUACCUCUGAGGAAGGAAGGCCUUCUCACUAGGGAUCCUCGGGUGGUUGAGAGGAAGAAAGUUGGUCUUAAGAAGGCCCGGAAAGCACCUCAAUUUUCAAAGCGUUAAGUUUGUUGUUGCAGAGGGUAGAUUUUGUUACUUCUGUAAGUUGGACACUCAUCUCAGUCUUCUCUUAGCUCCCUCCUUGCGGCAACUGAAGUUCACGUCAGAGCUGAACGAUAGGAAAAGUAAAGAAGGAAAAGCCUAUGUCCGGUUGAGAUUUUGAUUUACCUGUUAAUGUAUCGUGUAUUUGUAGCUUGCUAUGUGAACCUGACAUUUGGUUACCCUGCUCGAUCUUAAUGUGG